GGGUUGUAUUAGUUGAGGUAUACUUAUUGAUUGGACCUGGUACGUGGACCACAGGUAAUUAAUAUCUUUUUUCUUUGACGACAUGUGCUACGAUGUAUUUAAUGCUUUUCCUUUAUUUAAUGCCUUUUUGCUCCUCCUAACUAAUAAAUUAACCAUGGUCCACUGUGAAGCAGAUCCAACCAAUAAUUCUCAUUAAUUGAGGAUGAAGUGGUUAAAAGCCAAAGGUGGUAUGAUUAUGUUAGCAAACGUGAUCAGGAUAUUGAUAAAUAUGAUUGCUAAUAAAUUAACCAUGGUCCAGAUCCAACCAAUAAUUCUCAUUAAUUGAGGAUGAAGUGAUUAAAAGCCAAAGGUGGUAUGAUUAUGUUAGCAAAUGUGAUC
Molecule: long non-coding RNA, 378 nt
Filed under: Elaeis guineensis (African oil palm)
Lineage: Eukaryota; Viridiplantae; Streptophyta; Magnoliopsida; Arecales; Arecaceae
Description: long non-coding RNA (EGUI_LNC003552)
Source: RNAcentral